CCUACGGGCGGCAGCAGUCGAGAAUCAUUCACAAUGGGGGAAACCCUGAUGGUGCGACGCCGCGUGGGGGAAUGAAGGUCUUCGGAUUGUAAACCCCUGUCAUGUGGGAGCAAAUUAAAAAGAUAGUACCACAAGAGGAAGAGACGUCUAACUCAGUGCCAGCAGCCGCGGGAAUACAGCGGUCUCAAGCGUUGUUCGGAAUCACUGGGCGUAAAGCGUGCGUAGGCUGUUUCGUAAGUCGUGUGUGAAAGGCGCGGGCUCAACCCGCGGACGGCACAUGAUACUGCGAGACUAGAGUAAUGGAGGGGGAACCGGAAUUCUCGGUGUAGCAGUGAAAUGCGUAGAUAUCGAGAGGAACACUCGUGGCGAAGGCGGGUUCCUGGACAUUAACUGACGCUGAGGCACGAAGGCCAGGGGAGCGAAAGGGAUUAGAUACCCCUGUAGUC
Molecule: ribosomal RNA, 446 nt
Filed under: uncultured bacterium
Lineage: Bacteria
Description: partial 16S ribosomal RNA
Rfam family: Bacterial small subunit ribosomal RNA
Source: RNAcentral